Molecule: long non-coding RNA, 164 nt
Organism: Juglans microcarpa x Juglans regia
Lineage: Eukaryota; Viridiplantae; Streptophyta; Magnoliopsida; Fagales; Juglandaceae
Exons: 3
Source: RefSeq, a predicted model, not a curated record
UUGAAGAAGCUCUGUGUGCAUAUUAACAAUAACCAACCAUCAUCAACUCAAACCACACAAGAGUUACCAAGUGAAGCACAUGCAACGACUAUAGAAUCCACACAAUCAGAAGACUUACCAUCUCAUGCAACAGCUACCCAAAUCGUCAAAGGAAAGUCCAUCAC